UACGUAGGUCGCAAGCGUUGUCCGGAAUAAUUGGGCGUAAAGCGCGCGCAGGCGGUUCCUUAAGUCUGGUGUGAAAGCCCACGGCUCAACCGUGGAGGGUCGUUGGAAACUGGGGAACUUGAGUGCAGAAGAGGAAAGCGGAAUUCCACGUGCAGCGGUGAAAUGCGUAGAGAUGUGGAGGAACACCAGUGGCGAAGGCGGCUUUCUGGUCUGUAACUGACGCUGAGGCGCGAAAGCGUGGGGAGCAAACAGG
RNAcentral lists this unclassified non-coding RNA (253 nucleotides) under uncultured Bacillaceae bacterium. Its description in RNAcentral is "contains 16S-23S intergenic spacer region". It matches the Rfam family "Bacterial small subunit ribosomal RNA", at positions 524 to 776 of the family's 1533-position model. The record is from RNAcentral. Lineage: Bacteria; Bacillati; Bacillota; Bacilli; Caryophanales; Bacillaceae.